Molecule: ribosomal RNA, 1827 nt
Filed under: Triticum aestivum (bread wheat)
Lineage: Eukaryota; Viridiplantae; Streptophyta; Magnoliopsida; Poales; Poaceae
Description: partial small subunit ribosomal RNA
Source: RNAcentral
CGUUCGUUGCUUAUUUUCGCUCCGUCGCGCCGCGCCGGUGCAGCCACCAAGCUUGCCGAGUCUAGGGCGGAGGGUGCAGAGAGUCUCUCUAGGGUCGGCGACGUGGCUGCCUCCGGUGCAGUGUCCGGCGGGGCAGGGUAGGGUUAUCGGAGGCCGUGCUGCUCGUUAGGGAGGGGUUUGACUGCGGGAGGCCGCGUACUAGGCGGGCGGAGCGGAGGAGGAGGUGGCGCGGGGGAAGGAGGAGGCUUGGGGCGUUGGCGGAGCGCGGGGCGGCGAGGGGCGGGCGGCUCGGGAUUGGGGCUGAGAAGCCUCGAAGCGAAGAGCGGCGGGACGCGGCGAGACGGACGACUACCUAGGCCGGUGCGGGAAGAGGCUACGAUCCCGGCUGCGGAUGCGGCUCAAGUUGCCCCUCUGACCGCACCUGCUGGGCCUCAAGCGCCUGCGGCUCCGCCUUCGCCCCCCUCUCCUGCGCCCGAAGCUGCCCGGGUCCCUUGACGGGCUCCUCGAGCGGUCUCCUCACCACACGGAGCUCACGCAGUGAAGCCGGCUCCGGCACCGCCGACCCCUUCCGCUCUGGACGGCGCAGAUGCAGCAGCCGUGGCGGGUACAGAGCGUCCUUAGUACACUAGUUCAGUUUCGGCAGUAGUUGAAGGACUUUGGAGUCCGACAAAAGAACCUUGACACAAGGUCGUCCCAAAGAUAAGACUGUGGUGUUUUGGAAGUCCAAGGAUGAUACUUGCUUUACUAACUGUACACCUUCUUCUUUUUCUACUUGUGGAAACCCUAAGAGAUAUCGACCAAAGAACGUUUCCAACGGUCGGUCGAACUACACAAUGGACCUCGACUUAAAGCUCACCGUAAACUCCUUCGUUACUGAAUACCACCGUUUCAAUAGGAACCUCUAGCGGGACAGGUCUAGUGAGACUCCUCUUGAACCCCCUUUUACAGUAACACCGUGUCCCGAUUUAAAGACAUGAUGUAACAAAAGGUCAGGAAUAAAAAUGGCUCGGGACUUCUAGAAUUAUUUUACAAUUUCCUGUACCUACUACAACUGUACGAUUGUGAACAGUAAGUUCUCUACUCAUUCCGUAAAGGAUCAGACUACCUCUGUGAAGAGGUACUCGCACUAUACAUAUACAGAAGGUUUAAUAACUUCCAUCGUUCCCUUGUAAGAAGUCACCACCGUCAACACCCUUUUCCCGUACAAAGACCGUAUUUCUUUUUAACCGUUGUUGGAUAACUCCAUGUUGCAAACUACCUUAAUGGACACGGAUCCUUUCCACGAAGCUUCAACUUUUAAAACCGUAGGUAACCUCGUCAUUCGUGUCAUCAUCGUAGACCUUAGAUAUAUACCCCAUUUUUUAUUGUUACAUACGUGGUUACACAGUUCACAAGAAACAAGAACAGUACACAUCAGAGAUUUUUCGUUUCCCACAAGUCAAGAGUGAAUGUCAAAAAGUAAUAUGUUAUCCACAUUAAAGACCUUAGCUUCAACUUGUUUACUUUCUUGUUAAAGUGACGUUACAUGUGACCUACACAGAGAAAGGUUUCGAAAGGAUAAAAUGAUCCUUGUUUGAGACCGCUUUUGCAAAUUCAACGUUUAAAUCUUAUCCUUUUACUAAACUGAACUAAAAUAAUAGUCCUCAGUAAAACCGAACGUUUAACAUCACGUAACUUCGAUAAGCAAAUCACGUAGUGGCCAGUAACCUAUCAUCAUCAUAGAUCAAAACCAACAGAGGUAUGUCUUCAAACGAGUGUGUUCAAGUUGAACGUACUGCCGACUGCGUGAGACACCGACUUAAUAAAACAAUAAAGACCGGUCAAACC